RNAcentral lists this ribosomal RNA (497 nucleotides) under uncultured bacterium. Its description in RNAcentral is "partial 16S ribosomal RNA". It matches the Rfam family "Bacterial small subunit ribosomal RNA", at positions 28 to 507 of the family's 1533-position model. The record is from RNAcentral.
GAUGAACGCUGGCGGCGUGCCUAAUACAUGCAAGUCGAGCGAACAGACGAGGAGCUUGCUCCUCUGACGUUAGCGGCGGACGGGUGAGUAACACGUGGAUAACCUACCUAUAAGACUGGGAUAACUUCGGGAAACCGGAGCUAAUACCGUAUAACAUGUUGAACCGCAUGGUUCAACAGUGAAAGACGGUCUUGCUGUCACUUAUAGAUGGAUCCGCGCCGCAUUAGCUAGUUGGUAAGUUAACGGCUUACCAAGGCAACGAUGCGUAGCCGACCUGAUAGGGUGGUCGGCCACACUGGAACUGAGACGCGGUCCAGACUCCUACGGGAGGCAGCAGUAGGGAAUCUUCCGCAAUGGGCGGAAGCCUGACGGAGCAGCGCCGCGUGAGUGAUGAAGGUCUUCGGAUCGUAAAACUCUGUUAUUAGGGAAGAACAAAUGUGUAAGUAACUAUGCACGUCUUGACGGUACCUAAUCAGAAAGCCACGGCUAACUACGUG